RNAcentral lists this ribosomal RNA (468 nucleotides) under uncultured bacterium. RNAcentral's name for it is "partial 16S ribosomal RNA". It matches the Rfam family "Bacterial small subunit ribosomal RNA", at positions 28 to 507 of the family's 1533-position model. The record is from RNAcentral.
GACGAACGCUGGCGGCGUGCUUAACACAUGCAAGUCGAACGGAAAGGCCCUGCUUUUGUGGGGUGCUCGAGUGGCGAACGGGUGAGUAACACGUGAGUAACCUGCCCUUGACUUUGGGAUAACUUCAGGAAACUGGGGCUAAUACCGGAUAGGAGCUCCUGCUGCAUGGUGGGGGUUGGAAAGUUUCGGCGGUUGGGGAUGGAAUCGCGGCUUAUCAGCUUGUUGGUGGGGUAGUGGCUUACCAAGGCUUUGACGGGUAGCCGGCCUGAGAGGGUGACCAGCCACAUUGGGACUGAGAGACGGCCCAGACUCCUACGGGAGGCAGCAGUGGGGAAUAUUGCACAAUGGGCGGAAGCCUGAUGCAGCAACGCCGCGUGCGGGAUGACGGCCUUCGGGUUGUAAACCGCUUUCGCCUGUGACGAAGCGGGAGUGACGGUAAUGGGUAAAGAAGCACCGGCUAACUACGUG